UACGGAAGGGGCUAGCGUUGUUCGGAAUUACUGGGCGUAAAGCGCGCGUAGGCGGCCUGGUCAGUGAGACGUGAAAGUCCUGGGCUCAACCCGGGGACGGCGUUUCAUACUGCCCGGCUAGAGUCCGGAAGAGGGUGGUGGAAUUCCCAGUGUAGAGGUGAAAUUCGUAGAUAUUGGGAGGAACACCGGUGGCGAAGGCGGCCACCUGGUCCGGUACUGACGCUCAAGUGCGAAAGCGUGGGGAGCAAACAGG
Molecule: ribosomal RNA, 253 nt
Filed under: uncultured bacterium
Lineage: Bacteria
Description: partial 16S ribosomal RNA
Rfam family: Bacterial small subunit ribosomal RNA
Source: RNAcentral